AGAGUUUGAUCCUGGCUCAGGAUGAACGCUAGCUACAGGCUUAACACAUGCAAGUCGAGGGGAAACGACAUCGAAAGCUUGCUUUUGAUGGGCGUCGACCGGCGCACGGGUGAGUAACGCGUAUCCAACCUGCCCACCACUUGGGGAUAACCUUGCGAAAGUAAGACUAAUACCCAAUGAUAUCUCUAGAAGACAUCUGAAAAGAGAUUAAAAGAUUUAUCGGUGAUGGAUGGGGAUGCGUCUGAUUAGCUUGUUGGCGGGGUAACGCCACAAGGCUACGAUCAGUAGGGUUCUGAGAGGAAGGUCCCCCANAUUGGAACUGGGACACGGUCCAAACUCCUACGGGAGGCA
This 351-nucleotide ribosomal RNA is filed under the name uncultured bacterium. RNAcentral's name for it is "bacterial SSU rRNA". It matches the Rfam family "Bacterial small subunit ribosomal RNA", at positions 8 to 350 of the family's 1533-position model. The record is from RNAcentral.